GGGUUGUGAGGUUAAGCGACUAAGCGUACACGGUGGAUGCCCUGGCAGUCAGAGGCGAUGAAGGACGUGCUAAUCUGCGAUAAGCGUCGGUAAGGUGAUAUGAACCGUUAUAACCGGCGAUUUCCGAAUGGGGAAACCCAGUGUGUUUCGACACACUAUCAUUAACUGAAUCCAUAGGUUAAUGAGGCGAACCGGGGGAACUGAAACAUCUAAGUACCCCGAGGAAAAGAAAUCAACCGAGAUUCCCCCAGUAGCGGCGAGCGAACGGGGAGCAGCCCAGAGCCUGAAUCAGUGUGUGUGUUAGUGGAAGCGUCUGGAAAGGCGCGCGAUACAGGGUGACAGCCCCGUACACAAAAAUGCACAUAUUGUGAGCUCGAUGAGUAGGGCGGGACACGUGGUAUCCUGUCUGAAUAUGGGGGGACCAUCCUCCAAGGCUAAAUACUCCUGACUGACCGAUAGUGAACCAGUACCGUGAGGGAAAGGCGAAAAGAACCCCGGCGAGGGGAGUGAAAAAGAACCUGAAACCGUGUACGUACAAGCAGUGGGAGCACGCUUAGGCGUGUGACUGCGUACCUUUUGUAUAAUGGGUCAGCGACUUAUAUUCUGUAGCAAGGUUAACCGAAUAGGGGAGCCGAAGGGAAACCGAGUCUUAACUGGGCGUUAAGUUGCAGGGUAUAGACCCGAAACCCGGUGAUCUAGCCAUGGGCAGGUUGAAGGUUGGGUAACACUAACUGGAGGACCGAACCGACUAAUGUUGAAAAAUUAGCGGAUGACUUGUGGCUGGGGGUGAAAGGCCAAUCAAACCGGGAGAUAGCUGGUUCUCCCCGAAAGCUAUUUAGGUAGCGCCUCGUGAAUUCAUCUCCGGGGGUAGAGCACUGUUUCGGCAAGGGGGUCAUCCCGACUUACCAACCCGAUGCAAACUGCGAAUACCGGAGAAUGUUAUCACGGGAGACACACGGCGGGUGCUAACGUCCGUCGUGAAGAGGGAAACAACCCAGACCGCCAGCUAAGGUCCCAAAGUCAUGGUUAAGUGGGAAACGAUGUGGGAAGGCCCAGACAGCCAGGAUGUUGGCUUAGAAGCAGCCAUCAUUUAAAGAAAGCGUAAUAGCUCACUGGUCGAGUCGGCCUGCGCGGAAGAUGUAACGGGGCUAAACCAUGCACCGAAGCUGCGGCAGCGACGCUGAUGCGUUGUUGGGUAGGGGAGCGUUCUGUAAGCCUGCGAAGGUGUGCUGUGAGGCAUGCUGGAGGUAUCAGAAGUGCGAAUGCUGACAUAAGUAACGAUAAAGCGGGUGAAAAGCCCGCUCGCCGGAAGACCAAGGGUUCCUGUCCAACGUUAAUCGGGGCAGGGUGAGUCGACCCCUAAGGCGAGGCCGAAAGGCGUAGUCGAUGGGAAACAGGUUAAUAUUCCUGUACUUGGUGUUACUGCGAAGGGGGGACGGAGAAGGCUAUGUUGGCCGGGCGACGGUUGUCCCGGUUUAAGCGUGUAGGCUGGUUUUCCAGGCAAAUCCGGAAAAUCAAGGCUGAGGCGUGAUGACGAGGCACUACGGUGCUGAAGCAACAAAUGCCCUGCUUCCAGGAAAAGCCUCUAAGCAUCAGGUAACAUCAAAUCGUACCCCAAACCGACACAGGUGGUCAGGUAGAGAAUACCAAGGCGCUUGAGAGAACUCGGGUGAAGGAACUAGGCAAAAUGGUGCCGUAACUUCGGGAGAAGGCACGCUGAUAUGUAGGUGA
RNAcentral lists this ribosomal RNA (1731 nucleotides) under Escherichia coli. RNAcentral's name for it is "partial 23S ribosomal RNA". It matches the Rfam family "Bacterial large subunit ribosomal RNA", at positions 1 to 1765 of the family's 2925-position model. Lineage: Bacteria; Pseudomonadati; Pseudomonadota; Gammaproteobacteria; Enterobacterales; Enterobacteriaceae. The record is from RNAcentral.